CCUACGGGAGGCAGCAGUGGGGAAUAUUGGACAAUGGGGGCAACCCUGAUCCAGCCAUGCCGCGUGUGUGAAGAAGGCCCUCGGGUUGUAAAGCACUUUCAGUGAGGAAGAACGCCUGGUGGUUAAUACCCAUCAGGAAAGACAUCACUCACAGAAGAAGCACCGGCUAACUCCGUGCCAGUAGCCGCGGUAAUACGGAGGGUGCGAGCGUUAAUCGGAAUUACUGGGCGUAAAGCGCGCGUAGGUGGCUUGAUAAGCCGGUUGUGAAAGCCCCGGGCUCAACCUGGGAACGGCAUCCGGAACUGUCAAGCUAGAGUGCAGGAGAGGAAGGUAGAAUUCCCGGUGUAGCGGUGAAAUGCGUAGAGAUCGGGAGGAAUACCAGUGGCGAAGGCGGCCUUCUGGACUGACACUGACACUGAGGUGCGAAAGCGUGGGUAGCAAACAGGAUUAGAUACCCCAGUAGUC
This 465-nucleotide ribosomal RNA is filed under the name Vreelandella stevensii. RNAcentral's name for it is "partial 16S ribosomal RNA". It matches the Rfam family "Bacterial small subunit ribosomal RNA", at positions 338 to 795 of the family's 1533-position model. Lineage: Bacteria; Pseudomonadati; Pseudomonadota; Gammaproteobacteria; Oceanospirillales; Halomonadaceae. The record is from RNAcentral.